This 248-nucleotide long non-coding RNA is filed under the name Vigna radiata. Its description in RNAcentral is "long non-coding RNA (VRAD_LNC006748)". The record is from RNAcentral. Lineage: Eukaryota; Viridiplantae; Streptophyta; Magnoliopsida; Fabales; Fabaceae.
AUUUUUGUUGUCAUCAUCAGAAACUCAUAUAUAUAUGGGUCUACCUUUCACAUAGCUCCCCCUUAUAAACAAUAUCCCCCUUUUUUGAUGAUGCACAAACAAAAGUUGUUUCUCCAGUUACUUUCUCCCCCUUUGGGCAUUAGCAAAAAAGACAAUUUCAAGUAACAAGAAAAUAAAGUGCAUUCAGAAGAUAUAAGAGAUACAUCAAGAAGUUCUUACAGAACAUUUGAAGAAUGAGAUGCUCCCCC